CAGCCGCCACGGUAAUACAGAGGGUGCGAGCGUUAAUCGGAUUUACUGGGCGUAAAGCGUGCGUAGGCGGCUUCUUAAGUCGGAUGUGAAAUCCCUGAGCUUAACUUAGGAAUUGCAUUCGAUACUGGGAAGCUAGAGUAUGGGAGAGGAUGGUAGAAUUCCAGGUGUAGCGGUGAAAUGCGUAGAGAUCUGGAGGAAUACCGAUGGCGAAGGCAGCCAUCUGGCCUAAUACUGACGCUGAGGUACGAAAGCAUGGGGAGCAAACAGGAUUAGAGACCCCGGUAGUCCCUGUCUCUUAUAA
Molecule: ribosomal RNA, 301 nt
Filed under: uncultured bacterium
Lineage: Bacteria
Description: partial 16S ribosomal RNA
Rfam family: Bacterial small subunit ribosomal RNA
Source: RNAcentral